This 757-nucleotide ribosomal RNA is filed under the name Bacillus thuringiensis. RNAcentral's name for it is "bacterial SSU rRNA". It matches the Rfam family "Bacterial small subunit ribosomal RNA", at positions 65 to 800 of the family's 1533-position model. Lineage: Bacteria; Bacillati; Bacillota; Bacilli; Caryophanales; Bacillaceae. The record is from RNAcentral.
AGCGAAUGGAUUGAGAGCUUGCUCUCAAGAAGUUAGCGGCGGACGGGUGAGUAACACGUGGGUAACCUGCCCAUAAGACUGGGAUAACUCCGGGAAACCGGGGCUAAUACCGGAUAAUAUUUUGAACUGCAUGGUUCGAAAUUGAAAGGCGGCUUCGGCUGUCACUUAUGGAUGGACCCGCGUCGCAUUAGCUAGUUGGUGAGGUAACGGCUCACCAAGGCAACGAUGCGUAGCCGACCUGAGAGGUGGAUCGGCCACACUGGGACUGAGANCGGGCCCCAGACUCCAUACGGGAGGCAGCAGUAGGGAAUCUUCCGCAAUGGACGAAAGUCUGACGGAGCAACGCCGCGUGAGUGAUGAAGGCUUUCGGGUCGUAAAACUCUGUUGUUAGGGAAGAACAAGUGCUAGUUGAAUAAGCUGGCACCUUGACGGUACCUAACCAGAAAGCCACGGCUAACUACGUGCCAGCAGCCGCGGUAAUACGUAGGUGGCAAGCGUUAUCCGGAAUUAUUGGGCGUAAAGCGCGCGCAGGUGGUUUCUUAAGUCUGAUGUGAAAGCCCACGGCUCNACCGUGGGAGGGUCAUUGGAAACUGGGAGACUUGAGUGCAGAAGAGGAAAGUGGAAUUCCAUGUGUAGCGGUGAAAUGCGUAGAGAUAUGGAGGAACACCAGUGGCGAAGGCGACUUUCUGGUCUGUAACUGACACUGAGGCGCGAAAGCGUGGGGAGCAAACAGGAUUAGAUACCUGGUAGUCCACGC